This 772-nucleotide ribosomal RNA is filed under the name uncultured bacterium. RNAcentral's name for it is "bacterial SSU rRNA". It matches the Rfam family "Bacterial small subunit ribosomal RNA", at positions 8 to 796 of the family's 1533-position model. The record is from RNAcentral.
AGAGUUUGAUCCUGGCUCAGAAUGAACGCUGGCGGCGUGCCUAACACAUGCAAGUCGGAUGUGCCCGCAAGGGUGCAUGGCAGACGGGUGAGUAACGCGUGGGGAAUCUACCUCUUUGUGGGGAAUAACGCUCCGAAAGGAGUGGUAAUACCGCAUGAGAUCCAUGGCUGGGAUGCUGUGGAUGAAACCUGGGGACCUUCGGGCCUGGGGCAAGGAGAGGAUCCUGCGUCUGAUUAGCUAGUUGGUGAGGUAACGGCCCACCAAGGCAACGAUCAGUAGCCGGCCUGAGAGGGUGAUCGGCCACACUGGAACUGAGACACGGGCCAGACACCUACGGGUGGCAGCAGUAGGGAAUAUUGGGCAAUGGGCGAAAGCCUGACCCAGCAACGCCGCGUGUGCGAUGAAGGCCUUCGGGUCGUAAAGCACUUUUCUGGGAGAUGAGAAAGGACAGUAUCCCAGGAAUAAGUCUCGGCUAACUACGUGCCAGCAGCCGCGGUAAAACGUAGGAGGCAAGCGUUAUCCGGAUUUACUGGGCGUAAAGCGCGUGCAGGCGGUUCGGUAAGUUGGAUGUGAAAGCUCCUGGCUCAACUAGGAGAGGUCGUUCAAUACUACCGGACUUGAGAGCAGUAGAGGGAGGUGGAAUUCCCGGUGUAGUGGUGAAAUGCGUAGAUAUCGGGAGGAACACCAGUGGCGAAAGCGGCCUCCUGGACUGUUUCUGACGCUCAGACGCGAAAGCUAGGGGAGCAAACGGGAUUAGAUACCCUGGUAGUCC